CGCGGUAAUUCCAGCUCCAAUAGCGUAUAUUAAAGUUGUUGCAGUUAAAAAGCUCGUAGUUGAAUUUCGGGGUUAGUAGGUUGGUCAUGCCUCUGGUAUGUACUGAUCUCACUGAUUCCUCCCUCUUGACGAACUGUAAUGUCAUUAAUUUGGUGUUGCAGGAAAUCAGGACUGUUACUUUGAAAAAAUUAGAGUGUUUAAAGCAGGCUUAGGCUUGAAUACAUUAGCAUGGAAUAAUGAAAUAGGACGUUGACCCUAUUUUGUUGGUUUCUAGGAUUGACGUAAUGAUUAAUAGGGAUAGUUGGGGGCAUUAGUAUUCAAUUGUCAGAGGUGAAAUCCUUGGAUUUAUUGAAGACUAACUACUGCGAAAGCAUUUGCCAAGGAUGUUUUCAUUAAUCAAGAACGAAAGUUAGGGGAUCGAAGACGAUCAGAUACCGUCGUAGUCUUAACCAUAAACUAUGCCGACUAGGGAUCGGAUGAAGUUAAUUUUU
RNAcentral lists this ribosomal RNA (491 nucleotides) under uncultured Glomus. Its description in RNAcentral is "SSU rRNA". It matches the Rfam family "Eukaryotic small subunit ribosomal RNA", at positions 575 to 1071 of the family's 1831-position model. The record is from RNAcentral. Lineage: Eukaryota; Fungi; Glomeromycota; Glomeromycetes; Glomerales; Glomeraceae.